RNAcentral lists this ribosomal RNA (2024 nucleotides) under freshwater metagenome. RNAcentral's name for it is "bacterial LSU rRNA". It matches the Rfam family "Bacterial large subunit ribosomal RNA", at positions 1 to 2152 of the family's 2925-position model. The record is from RNAcentral.
CCCAGUCACGAAGGAUGCCUUGGCUCUCAGAGGCGAAGAAGGACGUGUUAAGCUGCGAUAAGCCCCGGGGAACUGCCUAAAAAGUUUCGAUCCGGAGAUUUCCGAAUGGGGCAACCUGCCUGUUUUAACAGGCUUAGAGCAAACCCGCUGAACUGAAACAUCUAAGUAAGCGGAGGAAGAGAAAACAAUAGUGAUUUCCCAAGUAGUGGCGAGCGAACGGGAAUUAGCCCAAACCGACAUGGUUACGGCCAUGUCGGGGUUGUAGGACUGCAACGUGUAUAUAAAAACGAAUCAGAAGCUUUCUGGAAAGUUAUGCCAUAGAGGGUGAUAGCCCCGUAUGAGUAAGGUUUUAUAUGCUAGCAGUAUCCUGAGUACCGCGGGGUCGGAGACGCCUUGCGGGAAGCUGCCAGCACCAUCUGGUAAGGCUAAAUACUCCUGAGAGACCGAUAGUGAACUAGUACUGUGAAGGAAAGGUGAAAAGUAUCCCGAAAAGGGAGGUGAAAAGAACCUGAAAUCGUGCGCCUACAAGCGGUCGGAGUCCCCUAGUGGGAUGACGGCGUGCCUUUUGCAUAAUGAGCCUACGAGUUACUCCUCACUGGCAAGGUUAAUUCCGUGUACGGAAGCAGCCGAAGCGAAAGCGAGUCUUAACAGGGCGUAUAGUCAGUGGGGGUAGACGCGAAACUUUGUGAUCUACCCUUGACCAGGAUGAAGUCACGGUAACACGUGAUGGAGGUCCGAACCGGUAAACGUUGAAAAGUUUUCGGAUGAGUUGAGGGUAGGGGUGAAAGGCUAAUCAAACUGAGAGAUAGCUCGUACUCUCCGAAAUGUUUUUAGGAACAGCCUCAGAAUUAGUGUAACAGAGGUAGAGCUACCAAUUGGGUGAGGGGGUGUCAAAGCCUACCGAGCUCAGAUAAACUCCGAAUGCUGUUACAUAUAUCUGGGAGUGAGGGCAUGGGUGCUAAGGUCCAUGCCCGAGAGGGAAAGAACCCAGACCAACAGCUAAGGUCCCAAAAUGUAUACUAAGUUGAUCAAAUGUGGUCCAGUUGCAUAGACAGCCAGGAUGUUUGCUUGGAAGCAGCAAUUCAUUUAAAGAGUGCGUAACAGCUCACUGGUCGAGCGACAGGGCACAGAUAAUAAACGGGCAUUAAGUAUACUACCGAAGCUUUGGAUUUCCAGCAAUGGAAGUGGUAGGAGAGCAUUCCAGCAGCGCUGAAGGUGAAUCGCAAGGUUUGCUGGAGCAGCUGGAAAAGCAAAUGUAGGCAUAAGUAACGAUAAUGAAAGUGAAAAACUUUCACUCCGAUAGUCUAAGGUUUCCUGAUCAACGUUAAUCGGAUCAGGGUUAGUCGGGACCUAAGGCGAACCGUAAUAGGGUAGUCGAUGGACAACAGGUUAAUAUUCCUGUACUGGCUGAGAGGGACGGAGAAAUGUAGUGGCUGCGUGCUGACGGAAUAGCACGCUGAGCCUAGCCCUCGGGCGAAGCGAAGUCAUGAACUUUCUUCCAAGAAAAGCUCCAGCAUAAACCCGUACCGUAAACCGACACAGGUGGACAAGGAGAGUAUCCUGAGGAGCUCGAGUGAAUCAUGGUUAAGGAACUAGGCAAAUUGACCCUGUAACUUCGGGAUAAGGGGUGCCCCGCGCAAGCGGGGCCGCAGUGAAAAGGUCCAGGCGACUGUUUAUCAAAAACACAAGGCUCUGCUAAAUCGAAAGAUGAUGUAUAGGGUCUGACACCUGCCCGGUGCCGGAAGGUUAAGAGGGGGGCUUAGCAGCAAUGCGAAGGUCUGAAUCGAAGCCCCGGUAAACGGCGGCCGUAACUAUAACGGUCCUAAGGUAGCGAAAUUCCUUGUCGGGUAAGUUCCGACCUGCACGAAUGGUGUAACGAUCUGGGCGCUGUCUCAACCAUGAGCUCGGUGAAAUUGUAGUCUCGGUGAAGAUGCCGAGUACCCGCAACGGGACGGAAAGACCCCGUGCACCUUUACUAUAGCUUUGCAUUGAGUUUGGGUUAUUGCCGUGUAUCGUGACUGGGA